UACGUAGGGGGCGAGCGUUGUCCGGAUUUAUUGGGCGUAAAGAGCGUGUAGGCGGCCAGGUAGGUCUGCUGUGAAAACUCGAGGCUCAACCUCGAGACGUCGGCGGAAACCAUCUGGCUAGAGUCCGGAAGAGGAUAGUGGAAUUCCUGGUGUAGCGGUGAAAUGCGCAGAUAUCAGGAAGAACACCCGUGGCGAAGGCGGCUCUCUGGGACGGUACUGACGCUGAGACGCGAAAGCGUGGGGAGCGAACAGG
RNAcentral lists this ribosomal RNA (253 nucleotides) under uncultured bacterium. RNAcentral describes it as "partial 16S ribosomal RNA". It matches the Rfam family "Bacterial small subunit ribosomal RNA", at positions 524 to 776 of the family's 1533-position model. The record is from RNAcentral.